Molecule: long non-coding RNA, 656 nt
Filed under: Oncorhynchus kisutch (coho salmon)
Lineage: Eukaryota; Metazoa; Chordata; Actinopteri; Salmoniformes; Salmonidae
Description: lncRNA (ENSOKIG00005006468.1)
Source: RNAcentral
UUAAUAUAUAUAUAUAUAUAUAUAUAUAUAUAUAUGAAAAUGUGUUUUUCCUGUAUAUAUAUGAAAAUGUGUUUUUCCUGUAUAUGUCAAACAAACAACUUUCACCCAGUAUUGUAUCUAUAGGGAGAGUAAAUAAAAACGACAUACAACAGGUCAGACCUUGAACGUCAAUCUCUGCGGUCCACACCGGUCAAUGCUGCAGGUUCACUGCAGUGGACAGUGGGUUAUGACAAAUACUUUUAACAUUUCUAAAGGUUUAAAACAUUAAUAGAUGUCUUAAUAGCGCUGGUCCAAUUUGAGAUGUUUUACAAACACGACUGAUCAAACUGCAAUGGCACAAGGAUUACUAACAUCUCUGGACUGGAUUCCUUCCCCUCCUGAGACAGACGGACAACAACCACAUGUUUUCACCCUCGGGGUAAGUACUACAAGCCUUUCAUGUCCUGUCAAAGGUUUUCUGCCUUUGGACUGAUAAGGCAGAAUUUGACAAUUGUUAACGUGCCGUGUGUAACUGUGUAACUUGACUUAAUUUUCCCCAUCCAAGAUCAUUAAUCUCAGAGGUGUCGUGCAUAACUUUGAGGGCACCGAUGGCCAAAUCUUAGACUUAUGCAUAAAAUAAACGAUUCUUUCUAGAUUUUCAGUGUUCAAAUGGACGA